RNAcentral lists this ribosomal RNA (2522 nucleotides) under human gut metagenome. RNAcentral's name for it is "bacterial LSU rRNA". It matches the Rfam family "Bacterial large subunit ribosomal RNA". The record is from RNAcentral.
AUAAGGGCGCACGGAGGAUGCCUUGGCACUAGGAGUCGAAGAAGGACGCGACAAACGGCGAAACGCCUCGGGGAGCUGUAAGUGAGCAUUGAUCCGGGGGUAUCCGAAUGGGGAAACCCGCUAGUGGUUAUACGCUAGCACCAUAUGGUGAAUACAUAGCCAUAUAGGAGACAGACCCAGGGAACUGAAACAUCUAAGUACCUGGAGGAAAAGAAAGAAAAAUCGAUUCCCGUAGUAGCGGCGAGCGAAGUGGGAAGAGCCCAAACCGGAUUUAUCCGGGGUUGUAGGACCUUCAUAAUUGACAAAUCAUGAUAGCCGAAUGGUCUGGGAAGGCCAACCGUAGGGGGUGAGAGUCCCGUAGGUGAAAUUGUGAGAUGCAUGGAAGGAAUCCUGAGUACGGCGGGACACGUGGAAUCCCGUCGGAAUCAACGAGGACCAUCUCGUAAGGCUAAAUACUACCUAGUGACCGAUAGUGAACCAGUACCGUGAGGGAAAGGUGAAAAGAACCCCGGAAGGGGAGUGAAAGAGAACCUGAAACCGUGUGCCUACAAAUAGUCAGAGCCCGUUAAUGGGUGAUGGCGUGCCUUUUGUAGAAUGAACCGGCGAGUUACGAUAUCGUGCGAGGUUAAGCAGAAGAUGCGGAGCCGUAGCGAAAGCGAGUCUGAAUAGGGCGAAGAGUACGAUGUUGUAGACCCGAAACCGUGUGAGCUAGCCAUGAGCAGGCUGAAGGUCAGGUAACACUGACUGGAGGGCCGAACCAGGGCACGUUGAAAAGUGCUUGGAUGACUUGUGGCUAGGGGUGAAAUUCCAAUCGAACACGGAUAUAGCUGGUUCUCUCCGAAAUAGCUUUAGGGCUAGCCUCGAUGUUAAGUCUACUGGAGGUAGAGCACUGAAUGGGUGAUGGCCCCACCUCGGGGUACUGAUCUCAAUCAAACUCCGAAUGCCAGAUAGAUAUAAUCGGGAGUCAGACUGUGGGUGAUAAGGUCCAUGGUCAAAAGGGAAAGAGCCCAGACCGCCAGCUAAGGCCCCCAAGUGUCCGUUAAGUGGAAAAGGAUGUGGAGAUGCACAGACAACUAGGAGGUUGGCUUAGAAGCAGCCAUCCUUUAAAGAGUGCGUAAUAGCUCACUAGUCGAGUGACUCUGCGCCGAAAAUGUACCGGGGCUAAACGGACCGCCGAAGCUGCGGAUUGACUUUAGAGUCAGUGGUAGGAGAGCGUUCUAACAGCGGUGAAGCAGUACCGGAAGGAGCUGUGGAGCGGUUAGAAGUGAGAAUGCCGGUGUGAGUAGCGAAAGAUAGGUGAGAAUCCUAUCCAUCGAAAGCCUAAGGUUUCCAGGGGAAGGCUCGUCCGCCCUGGGUAAGUCGGGACCUAAGGUGAGGCCGAAAGGCGUAGCCGAUGGACAACAGGUUGAUAUUCCUGUACCACUUAUUAAACUGAUGGAGUGACGGAGAAGGCUAAGUUGAGCGUGUGAUUGGAUUCACGUGUAAGCAGUGAGGUGGUCAUGUAGGCAAAUCCGCAUGGCAUAACAUUGAGCUGUGAUGCCGAAGCCGAAUGGCGAAGUCAACUGACGUCACGCUUCCAAGAAAAGCUUCUAGGGUUAAUUUAAUAAGUGCCCGUACCGAUAACCGACACAGGUAGGCGAGGAGAGAAUCCUAAGAUGAGCGAGAGAACUCUUGUUAAGGAACUCGGCAAAAUGACCCCGUAACUUCGGGAGAAGGGGUGCUUGUGAAAGCAAGCCGCAGUGAAUAGGCCCAGGCGACUGUUUAUCAAAAACACAGGUCUCUGCUAAACCGCAAGGUGAUGUAUAGGGGCUGACGCCUGCCCGGUGCUGGAAGGUUAAGAGGAGAGGUUAGCGCAAGCGAAGCUUUGAAUUGAAGCCCCAGUAAACGGCGGCCGUAACUAUAACGGAGACUCGGUGAAAUCAUAGUACCUGUGAAGAUGCAGGUUACCCGCGACAGGACGGAAAGACCCCGUGGAGCUUUACUGUAGCUUGAUAUUGAGCACUGGUGGCACAUGUACAGGAUAGGUAGGAGACGAAGAAACCAGGACGCCAGUCUUGGUGGAGUCGCUGUUGGGAUACUACCCUUGUGUCACUGGGGUUCUAACCCGUGGCCCUUAUCGGGUCAGGGAACAGUGUCAGGUGGGCAGUUUGACUGGGGCGGUCGCCUCCCAAAGAGUAACGGAGGCGCCCAAAGGUUCCCUCAGAAUGGUUGGAAAUCAUUCGAAGAGUGUAAAGGCAGAAGGGAGCUUGACUGCGAGACCUACAAGUCGAGCAGGGACGAAAGUCGGGCUUAGUGAUCCGGCGGUACCGAAUGGAAGGGCCGUCGCUCAACGGAUAAAAGCUACCCCGGGGAUAACAGGCUGAUCUCCCCCAAGAGUUCACAUCGACGGGGAGGUUUGGCACCUCGAUGUCGGCUCAUCGCAUCCUGGGGCUGUAGUCGGUCCCAAGGGUUGGGCUGUUCGCCCAUUAAAGCGGUACGCGAGCUGGGUUCAGAACGUCGUGAGACAGUUCGGUCCCUAUCCG